Long non-coding RNA from Tympanuchus pallidicinctus (lesser prairie-chicken), 1088 nucleotides. RefSeq lists it as uncharacterized. The transcript is spliced from 3 exons. The record is from RefSeq and is a predicted model, not a curated record. Lineage: Eukaryota; Metazoa; Chordata; Aves; Galliformes; Phasianidae.
UACUUCUAUAUUGCAAUUAUGUUUCUGACGGCAUCGCCACAGUGGCAUCGGAUUCGUGUUCCUGAGACGGUUUUUUAUCACUGUAGUACAAAACGGAGAUAAUCUCGAGUCAUUUUCUUUGCUUAAAUUAGCUUUGAAAAGCAGCAAGUAACACAAAGUUUCCUCCAAGCUCUGCAGCUGGGUUAGGAGCUGCUUCCCGGUAACACGGUUUCAUCUCUUAAAAAUAACAAAAGCUUUGAACAUUGUGCCCUAUACGGCUUUGCACAGAGCUUAUAAAAAGUGAAGAAAUGAUGUGUCUUUCACCAGAAAUAGUUAAAUGAAUACCAGAUCAGUUUAAUUAGCCAGCAGUGUCAUCUUACAAGAACAUACAGAUGUUCUUCCUCUGCUUUCUUCAGCUUUCUUCAUCUUUGUACUAACAUUUCAAUUAAUCAUAUUAACAUUUCUUUCUCCCAAAAGAAUUCUUUUGAGUAACCCAAGUAGGCAAAUACAUUCAUCCCUGUGUUUAUAUUUUAAGAUGAAGUGUUUACUUUGUGAUUAUUUUUAUAGUUAAAGGCAUAUUGUCAGUCAAAUACGGCAGCUGAACAAAAAAUAACCAAGACAUGUAGAAACAAGAUCCAGAUGGGAUCCAUCCACACAGGAUCUGAUGAGAGGCUGUGAGAUCCUGACGAAAACAGAAAAUAGAGCCAACUUUGCCUUCCAGUUCUUAAAUGCUGUUGCAGAAGAGACCAUGAGCACAAGGAUGGUGAGAGGACAGGAUGCAGUGUAAUACAGCACACAAACUCUUGUGAAGUUUGUGGCAGUAGUGAAGACAGUCUAAGGAUUUUGCCAGCAGCACUGAUUUACCAUGACUUGGGUACAAUUAAAGUGUGAGAAACCUCCAGGAGAUGUGGUUGUGUCCUGGAGUGGCUUUUGUCUGCAUAAGGCAAGAAACAGAAUAGCAUCACAUGUGAAAGUGUAACAAGAGAAGGAGAUGAGGUUAUUUAGAGCUACCAUCUGUAUCGAUGCUGUAUUUCAUUCACACUUCUUAUGUGUGGUAUCCUAUUAGGUCAAUUCUGACUUCUCUGUGCUCCAGAUACAAAAAAAAUAAA